AAUAAAAUGGCAUUUAAAUUGUUGCUCCUAAGCAUGAUCUUGGAGUUAGGUGUUGCCAACAUCAAAGGUAGUGACGCCGUACCAAUUAUUCAUUUGAUUAGCGCAAUGGAAGCAACCAAGCUUCCUCUCUAUCUCCAUUUUACUAACGGGCCAAUGGACUACAGUCAUGGUCCACUGGACCGUUUUCUGAAUAGGGGCGAG
This 201-nucleotide long non-coding RNA is filed under the name Salvia miltiorrhiza (redroot sage). Its description in RNAcentral is "long non-coding RNA (SMIL_LNC004430)". Lineage: Eukaryota; Viridiplantae; Streptophyta; Magnoliopsida; Lamiales; Lamiaceae. The record is from RNAcentral.